This is a long non-coding RNA of Bufo bufo (common toad), 285 nucleotides long. RefSeq lists it as uncharacterized. NCBI's taxonomy places the organism in Eukaryota, Metazoa, Chordata, Amphibia, Anura, Bufonidae. The record is from RefSeq and is a predicted model, not a curated record. The transcript is spliced from 3 exons.
GACCUGGAAGCCCUAUACAGGAGAGUAUCCUAAAAAAGAGGAAGAGGGGAGAAAAGACAGGGGGAAAAGCUGAAGAUGGACCCAGCACGUCCUAUAACACUGAGAUGGAACAGCUGUCAGUGACAACCCCAGCAGAAACCCCCAUCAUUGUGACUGGACUGGAAAGCUUCACCUUCCAUAAAAUUCUUGGAGAGGGUGCUUUUGGUAAAGUCAUGCUGGCCACACAUCCCGACUGCCAACAACAACUGGCAGUGAAGCUGGUGAAGAAGAGGGUCCUGCUUCAGA